GGAAAUGUAGCUGAGUGGUAGAGCACUUGCAUAGCAAGCAUGAGGCCUUGGGUUCAAUCCCUAGUACCA
RNAcentral lists this transfer RNA (69 nucleotides) under Heterocephalus glaber (naked mole-rat). It matches the Rfam family "tRNA". Rfam says of the family: Transfer RNA (tRNA) molecules are approximately 80 nucleotides in length. Their secondary structure includes four short double-helical elements and three loops (D, anti-codon, and T loops). The record is from Rfam by way of RNAcentral. Lineage: Eukaryota; Metazoa; Chordata; Mammalia; Rodentia; Bathyergidae.